RNAcentral lists this ribosomal RNA (490 nucleotides) under uncultured bacterium. RNAcentral describes it as "partial 16S ribosomal RNA". It matches the Rfam family "Bacterial small subunit ribosomal RNA", at positions 30 to 507 of the family's 1533-position model. The record is from RNAcentral.
AUUGAACGCUGGCGGCAGGCCUAACACAUGCAAGUCGAACGGUAACAGGGAUCAGCUUGCUGAUUCGCUGACGAGUGGCGGACGGGUGAGUAAUGUCUGGGAAACUGCCUGAUGGAGGGGGAUAACUACUGGAAACGGUAGCUAAUACCGCAUAACGUCGCAAGACCAAAGAGGGGGACCUUCGGGCCUCUUGCCAUCGGAUGUGCCCAGAUGGGAUUAGCUAGUAGGUGGGGUAACGGCUCACCUAGGCGACGAUCCCUAGCUGGUCUGAGAGGAUGACCUGCCACACUGGAACUGAGACACGGUCCAGACUCCUACGGGAGGCAGCAGUGGGGAAUAUUGCACAAUGGGCGCAAGCCUGAUGCAGCCAUGCCGCGUGUAUGAAGAAGGCCUUCGGGUUGUAAAGUACUUUCAGCGGGGAGGAAGGGAGUAAAGUUAAUACCUUUGCUCAUUGACGUUACCCGCAGAAGAAGCACCGGCUAACUCCGUG